CGUACACUCCUGCGGGAGGCAGCAGUGGGGAAUAUUGCACAAUGGGCGCAAGCCUGAUGCAGCGACGCCGCGUGGGGGAUGAAGGCCUUCGGGUUGUAAACUCCUUUCGCUAGGGACGAAGCUUUUUUGUGACGGUACCUAGAUAAGAAGCACCGGCUAACUACGUGCCAGCAGCCGCGGUAAUACGGAGGGUGCGAGCGUUGUCCGGAAUUACUGGGCGUAAAGGGCUCGUAGGUGGUUUGUCGCGUCGUCUGUGAAAUUCUGGGGCUUAACUCCGGGCGUGCAGGCGAUACGGGCAUAACUUGAGUGCUGUAGGGGUAACUGGAAUUCCUGGUGUAGCGGUGAAAUGCGCAGAUAUCAGGAGGAACACCGAUGGCGAAGGCAGGUUACUGGGCAGUUACUGACGCUGAGGAGCGAAAGCAUGGGUAGCGAACAGGAUUAGAUACCCCUGUAGUCCCAUGA
RNAcentral lists this ribosomal RNA (462 nucleotides) under uncultured organism. RNAcentral's name for it is "partial 16S ribosomal RNA". It matches the Rfam family "Bacterial small subunit ribosomal RNA", at positions 330 to 800 of the family's 1533-position model. The record is from RNAcentral.